UGACAUUACUCGUAUAUUUGGAAGUACAGUUACUAAAAAAAUUAAAAGUGUGUUAACUUUUUCUACUAGUUGAAAAUUACUACCGCUAAUUAAAACGACUAAUUUCGAGGUUUUGAUGUGUCCAACUGCCAAAGCUACAUCGACGAUUUCUCGAACGUUCCAGACCAACUAGUGACCGAUUUGGGAGAAUGUAUUA
Molecule: long non-coding RNA, 196 nt
Organism: Sitophilus oryzae (rice weevil)
Lineage: Eukaryota; Metazoa; Arthropoda; Insecta; Coleoptera; Curculionidae
Exons: 2
Source: RefSeq, a predicted model, not a curated record